AUGUAUUCUGUGUGUAAUGCUUAUCGUUUAUGUAUAAAUGAAGCUAUUGAUAACUCCUAUCAUAGAGUUGAUGAGAAAUGGCACAUGGUUUGGAAGUUAAAGAGCUCUCGUAUGGUCAAAAACUUCUUCUGGCGUAUGUGUAGGAACUAUGGACCAACUAGAGCGCGUCUAAAGGAUAAGGGUGUUGAUUUCCCCUCUAACUGCAACUUUUAUGGGGAAGAGAAGGAUGGCAUUAUUCAUUUGUUCUUUUGGUGUCUGAACUGUGUGGAGUGUUGGGAAAAGUUGUUAACCAAGAGCAACAAACAACAUUCUCUACUAUUUUGUGGAGCUUAUGGAAAUGUUGGAAUAAUCAUAUUUGGAACCAAAUCGAAGACUCCUGAGAUACUAUUUAUAAUCGUGCUUUGCACUUAUUACUAG
Molecule: non-coding RNA, 417 nt
Organism: Vicia faba (fava bean)
Lineage: Eukaryota; Viridiplantae; Streptophyta; Magnoliopsida; Fabales; Fabaceae
Source: the annotation of a GenBank genome assembly